Molecule: small nucleolar RNA, 92 nt
Filed under: Olea europaea subsp. europaea
Lineage: Eukaryota; Viridiplantae; Streptophyta; Magnoliopsida; Lamiales; Oleaceae
Description: small nucleolar RNA snoR128
Rfam family: small nucleolar RNA snoR128
Source: Rfam by way of RNAcentral
UUGCUAUGAUGAGAUACAGAAUUUGUGGAAAGCUCAUUGUGCUUGAUGUAAUAUCGACAGUCGCUGUCGAUUCUGAGCGGUUACCUGAGCAG